RNAcentral lists this ribosomal RNA (133 nucleotides) under uncultured bacterium. RNAcentral's name for it is "partial 16S ribosomal RNA". The record is from RNAcentral.
UCGUACGAUACCGUCAGUGCCCUACACGUAGGGCUUUUUCUUCUCGUACAAAAGCAGUUUACAACCCAUAGGGCAUUCAUCCUGCACGCGGUAUGGCUGGGUCAGACUUGCGUCCCAUUGCCCAAUAUUCCUC